Small nuclear RNA from Pogona vitticeps (central bearded dragon), 164 nucleotides. Its record names the gene U1. It matches the Rfam family "U1 spliceosomal RNA". Rfam says of the family: U1 is a small nuclear RNA (snRNA) component of the spliceosome (involved in pre-mRNA splicing). Its 5' end forms complementary base pairs with the 5' splice junction, thus defining the 5' donor site of an intron. There are significant differences in sequence and secondary structure between metazoan and yeast U1 snRNAs, the latter being much longer (568 nucleotides as compared to 164 nucleotides in human). The record is from Ensembl. Lineage: Eukaryota; Metazoa; Chordata; Lepidosauria; Squamata; Agamidae.
AUACUUACCUGGCAGGGGAGAUACCAUGAUCAUGAAAGUGGUUUUCCCAGGGUGAGGCUUAUCCAUUGCACUUUGUGUGUGCUGAUCCCUGUGAUUUCCCCAAAUGUGGGAAAAUCAACUGCACAAUUUGUAGUAGUGGAGGACUGUGUUUGUGCUUUCCCCUG